UUCAUAGAUUUAGUUUCUAACCUUUCUGCUCUUAAAGAAGUCACUUUUUGCUAAUAUGACUCCUCUUUCUUUCUGCCGUGUUUCUCUACAAGAUCAAUUUCAUCCUGUUCAUCAGCAUCAUCCGCAUCCUAGUGCAGAAACUGCGCAGCUGUGAUGUCGGCGGAAACGAUCAAUCCCAAUACAAGCGUCUGGCUAAGUCCACACUCCUGCUGAUCCCUCUGUUUGGGGUGUAUUAUGUGGUGUUUUUCUACCUGAUGGAACCGGAAAAUGAAAACGUGAAGCAAGUGAAGAUCUUCUUCGACCUCGGCCUCGGAUCAUUCCAGGGUCUAAUUGUAGCUGUUCUCUACUGUUUCCUCAACAGUGAGGUUCAGAGUGAGCUGAGGAGGACAUGGAAGUGUUUU
Oreochromis aureus is the source of this 401-nucleotide long non-coding RNA. RefSeq lists it as uncharacterized. Lineage: Eukaryota; Metazoa; Chordata; Actinopteri; Cichliformes; Cichlidae. The record is from RefSeq and is a predicted model, not a curated record. The transcript is spliced from 4 exons.